RNAcentral lists this ribosomal RNA (416 nucleotides) under uncultured bacterium. Its description in RNAcentral is "bacterial SSU rRNA". It matches the Rfam family "Bacterial small subunit ribosomal RNA", at positions 359 to 775 of the family's 1533-position model. The record is from RNAcentral.
GAAUAUUGCGCAAUGGCCGCAAGGCUGACGCAGCGACGCCGCGUGGGGGAGGAAGGCCUUCGGGUUGUAAACCCCUGUUGCCCGGGACGAACCGCCUCAUUUGUGCGGUUUGACGGUACCGGGUGAGGAAGCACCGGCUAACUCCGUGCCAGCAGCCGCGGUAAUACGGAGGGUGCGAGCGUUGUCCGGAAUCACUGGGCGUAAAGGGCGCGUAGGCGGCCUGGUAAGCGUGCGGUGAAAGCCCGGGGCUCAACCCCGGGUCUGCCGUGCGAACUGCUGGGCUUGAGCACUGUAGAGGCAGGUGGAAUUCCGGGUGUAGCGGUGGAAUGCGUAGAGAUCCGGAGGAACAUCGGUGGCGAAGGCGGCCUGCUGGGCAGUGGCUGACGCUGAGGCGCGACAGCGUGGGGAGCAAACAG